AUGGCCUGUACUUCACUUUUGAUCACUCUCCUGGCUCUCUGCUCAGGGGCCAUUUCCCAGGCUGUUGUGACUCAGGAAUCUGCACUCACCACAUCACCAGGUGGAACAGUCACAUUCACUUGUGGAUCAAGUACUGGAGCUGUUACAACCAGUAACUAUGCCAACUGGGUCCAAGAAAAACCAGAUCAUUUAUUCACUGGUAUAAUAGGUGAUACCAGCUACAGAGCUCCAAGUGCUCCUGCCAGAUUCACUGGGUCCCUGAUUGGAGACAAGGCUGCCCUUACCAUCACAGGGGCACAGACUGAGGAUGAGGGGAUAUAUUUCUGUGCUCUCUGGUACAGCAACCAUUUCCACAAUGGCAUGUGCAGAUAG
Arvicanthis niloticus (Nile rat) is the source of this 372-nucleotide non-coding RNA. NCBI's taxonomy places the organism in Eukaryota, Metazoa, Chordata, Mammalia, Rodentia, Muridae. The record is from the annotation of a RefSeq genome assembly.